RNAcentral lists this ribosomal RNA (459 nucleotides) under uncultured bacterium. Its description in RNAcentral is "partial 16S ribosomal RNA". It matches the Rfam family "Bacterial small subunit ribosomal RNA", at positions 338 to 795 of the family's 1533-position model. The record is from RNAcentral.
CCUACGGGAGACAGCAGUGAGGAAUAUUGGUCAAUGGUCGGGAGCCUGAACCAGCCAAGUCGCGUGAGGGAGGAAGGUACAGAGUAUCGUAAACCUCUUUUGUCAGGGAACAAAGGCGGGGACGUGUCCCCGGCUGAGUGUACCUGAAGAAAAAGCAUCGGCUAACUCCGUGACAGCAGCCGCGGUAAUACGGAGGAUGCGAGCGGUAAUCGGAUUUAUUGGGUUUAAAGGGUGCGCAGGCGGUCUGUUAAGUCAGCGGUCAAAGCCCGGGGCUCAACCCCGGCCCGCCGUUGAAACUGGCAGUCUCGAGUGGGAGAGAAGUAUGCGGAAUGCGCGGUGUAGCGGUGAAAUGCAUAGAUAUCGCGCAGAACUCCGAUUGCGAAGGCAGCAUUCCGGCUCCACACUGACGCUGAGGCACGAAAGCGUGGGUAUCGAACAGGAUUAGAUACCCCGGUAGUC